UGUGGUUUGUAGAGUUUUAAAGGCAAGAUUAUGCUAAGGGGUAAACAUACCCCCACUGAGAAACUGGGAAAAUAUCUGGGUGCUGUUAAAAUUUGGGAAAGAACUUCAAAUUUUUCAGGAGUGGGUUUUCCUUGCAGAUACCACUUAAUGGCUUGUGGGUGGAAGGAAGGAAGGCUGGCACCCAGGCCCUUCUGGAGCACACAGCACAGGAGCAGAAGCAAGCCAUGCUGCCAACUGCAUGAAAAUGAGACUAGAAUGAAACCCAGAUGAUGUUCUGCCCUUCCAAGAGAAAAAGAAUGGCUUCAGAGACUCAAAUCGCUGUGUAGGUGGAAGGUUGUCCAGCAGGUCUGCACUUGCCAAGAUGCCUCCUGCACAGACAGGUGACGUUGUCCUCUGAAUCCCCGGAGGAGAGCUGAUGCUUCUGGGUUAACUUCAGAGCCAUAUCUGGAAAUGCCAUCCUCUUCCUGAUCCCUUAGGAAUACAUUAAUGGAUGUUUAUUCAGUUUCUUGUUUAAAUUAAGUCAUUCUUGCUACUUAUUUUAUUUUUAGUCCUUAACAUAAGCUAUUUCUGUUUUCUCACCAUUCUUUCAUUGAGUCCAAGAUCAGGUCAAGAGCCUCAGAGCUGAUGUGUCAUUUCGCUCAUGACAGCGCUCUGACAAGCGGACGCGGCAGUGUGUUUGUGGCAUCCAGAGAAGAGGAAAAAAGCACAUUUAAAGAAGAGCAUUCUGCCUGUGUUGGGGUUUGCAUUGCUUAUUUUAGAAGGAGGAGGGAUUUAAGGAGUGAGCUGGCAAUUCCAGUAUCAGCAGGAGCUGAUCCCAGCAGCAAAACAUAAUCACUGGGAACGGAGAAAAUCCAGGAGGUUUUGCUGGAACUGAGCAAGAGCUUGACAGCUGGCAAAUGUUCAUUAAGAUGCUUUACAACCAAGAUUAAUCCUACUGGAAACUUGACUUCAUCGAUGCACUCACUACGUAAGCUGCAUUUUCUUAGCAGGUGACAUUGUUGAUGGGCCAGCAGCUGUUUGAAAGCUGCCAGACCUUUCCUGCUUGGUGAGCGUUUCUCUUUGAGCUUGGGAAAUGUCCCCAGCGGGAGCUGUGACCUGCCACUGCCGUUACCCAUGGGAAUGCAACACCUGCAGACACCAGCCGUCUCCUUCCCACUCCUUCAUCUUGGAAAACCAGCUGCAGGUUGCUUAUCAUCAGUCUGAGCCCAAAAGCAGAGAUACUGAUUCCGAUCUGCAGCUGCAGCCGGGCUUAAAUCUUGAUCUGCAAACGAUGUUUCUAUAAAGAGCAGGAAAGUUGGACUGCAUGUUCUCUCUGUUUAAAUGAAAAUAUCUGUUCUUAACCCAAACCAUGGCCAGUGCACCAUACAAAAUGGAUGGCUCUGGACCCACCCUGCAGGACUCUUUUGGGGCAAGGAGAUGAGAUCUUUACCAACAGUACUCAGAACAAAGCCACUGACACAGCUUGGAAGGAGCCGAAAGCCAUCAGCAGCUUAGCAAUGAUUCCCCGAAAUGCUGUUAUUAUGUUAACAAGUUUUCUUUUAUCCUCUCAAGGUCUCAGGGAAUCUUUCUAUUGACCAUUAAGGCAAAGUAAGACAAAACAUGCUGAAAUUGAGAACUGAAUGCUUAUGGACAGAAAUCCUAUAAUGUUAUGAUUCAAUUUCACUUUGGGUAAAGAUGAUUGUUUCUGCAAUCCAGCUGCUUGGCUCAUUGAAACACAGGGGGAAAAAAACUCACAGGGAGGGAAGGCAGGGGAAAAAACACAAUAAAAACAAUAAAAUAUAGGGAGAAAACAAUAAAAACUGGGAGAACAUUCCAGUUCUAACUGGAAAAGACACAGGUGAGUCUUUAAAGGACUGAUGUGAAGUAGUGCAGCAAUGUUUUUCUCAUGGUCUGUAGCCAUUACUUUGAUGCAAAACAGGCACGGAAUGCAGCAGUUCAGUGUGCUUAAGGGUAGUGCCUCAGAUCCAUCAAACCACAUGGUGCAGCUCACAUCUAUAAUAUGCAUGAAAUCAUUUGCAGAAUUAAUUCUAGACGUUAUUUCACAGGGAAUUGGCUGUAUCCAGUAUAUUGAGACUAAUACUAAUUGUUCUGUUAUAUAGACUAUAGCCAUUACUACAUCUGGGGAAUCACUGCUGUUGCAUGGACUUCUUGCAGUGGUGUUUGAGCUGUGUAGGAUCUGGAUUUUCCUUUGAAACGUUGGAGGUCAGGAACAACUAGUCCCAGCUAAGAGCUAAUUGCCUGGAGCAUAAUUUCUCUACAGUGAGAGAGUAUAGAAGUAGCAUCUGAAAGUACAAAGAAAGUCACUGUGCUUUUUGCUCUAUCAGCAGACUUUAAUGAAAUUUUGAAGGGGGAAAAAUUGCUUCUUGGCUUAAAGCAUGAGCUAUGUUAUUAAUCUCUGCAAAGGAGUUUUAUAAUUGAAAUGCCGAUGGAACAGCAGCUCUACUGACUCAAAUGAUGACCUAACAGUAUCUAGCAUGGGCAUACAUAAGGCUGCAGAAUACCAUGUCAUGAUCACAAGAGUUACCAGUAACGCAGAUACAUUGAAAAAUAUGACUUAGCUGAUACCAGUUCCUUUGAAAUUGGUUUUUCUCCAUUCUUAUGGCACCUGGCAUCUGUAUGAUGUUGUAGGGGCUCAAUGAGACUUUCCCAAGAGGUCCCAUAUACUGAAGCUAUGAAGGUGGUGAAGGGUCUGGAGGGGGAAGGCGUAUGAGAAGUGGCUGAGGUUUGUUCAGCCCAGAGAAGAGGAGACUGAGGUGGUCCUAUAGGAGGCAGGAGUUGGAUUUGAUGAUCGUUAUGGGUCCUUCCAACUUGGGGUGUUCUAUGAUUCUGAUUCUACUGUGGGGGUUGUCUUUGGUGGUUUACUGGCAUGGGGUACACACACUGUCUGUUGGUAGUACAGCAUUGUCUAUGCUAUCAUUCUUAUCAAGAGUUGGAAAAAAAAAACUUUGUGUACUUGUACUGACAGGGUCUGUGGUCUCAAAACAGUAGUUGGCUAUUAGAAAACAAAACAGUGCUCUGCGCCGCUCCUUACCCUCAAUCUCCCAGUCAAACUGUGAAAUUGACAGGCAGUUUCUUGGCCAGGUUAGCCUACAGCCCCCUCGGCCAAGCCAGAAGCUCAACUUUUCCCAGCAUGUCCUGAUCUGCAUGUCUUAUUUGGGGUUUUUGCUCCAGUGUGAGCCGGUUUUGUUCUAGUUGUGCAGCCCUGAGGAAAUGGUGACCUCGCGGGGUGGGAGCACUCAGGGAGACCUGCUCAGAUCUGCCUCUGAAAUGCAGACAUCCAGUGGUAAUUCUUAUUCAGAUUUCUCUAGGUUCUCCUUUUCUUAAGGCUUCAAAAAGCUGCAAAGAAAGCAAGACGUAUAAAUUACUAGUCUCAGCCUGUGCCUUUCUGUGUGCGUUUUUUAUUAAUACACACCAACAUGCCUUCAUUAUCACCUUGUUUUGUACCUACCUGUCAGAUAUGUAAAGCAACUCUGAUAUCAGAAAAUCUCAUCUUCUGCUUCCCUUUGCUUGAAACUAGGUGAAUGUGCAAACGAGCUAAGAGGGAAAAAAAUAGACUGCAAGAAAUAGCUUUGGCUUUCUAAAUAACCAUUUCCUUCCCUAAAAUGGAAUGCAGAUGCUUAAGCGGACAAGAAAACGGCAGCACAGGAGAACCAGCCCUGCCCUGGUUCCCCCAUGGAGAUGAGCUCCAAUUGGGAGCCCCAAAAGCUCUUUCUUUAAUGAUGUCAAGGAGCACCAGCGCUAUGGGAUGCCCAUGGAGCUGCUGUCUCCCUGUCCUAACAGCUUGUGGAAAGUGAUGUGCUAGUUGUAUUGAUCGGUUUCAUAUCUGCACUUUGUAUUUAUGGCUCACACGGGUCCUUGUGCACCUUCUAAAUGUUACAUUAAAAUACAGAGUGGCACCAGCUUUAAGGGGCUGAGGCACAAAGCUCCUUUCCUGCUCUUGUCUCCUAUUGUGAAAAAUUUGCAAAACUCUCAGGGAGGCUCUUGAAUUACAGCUCUUCCCCUUCCCCAUGAUGCAUGCAGAAAAUAAAUGUAUUAUUAAUCUGCCCACUGUCAGAGAUCUCUGCUCUCUCUCUCCCUGUCUGUACACAGGGAGACAGAUUGACAGGAACAGCAGAUUGCAGAACGGUGUGGCGUGCACUCAGGCUGGUGGAUCACCAAACGCUCAGGAUGAUGAGAUGCUCAGUUUGAACCAGGGUUGCAAACCCUAGGGGCAAUUUGGUGAUUUGCUGCUGAGCUCCUCCUUGGUCCCAAGCACCGAGGGAUUUGGUCUCAGGCUGUCCACCCCCUUCUGCUCUGAGUGCUGGCACGCUCUGGGUUUCAUGGCACGCAGACACGGUUUGUUCCGCUCUGUGCUGUUUCUCCCUCCUAUAUGGGCCGCUUGCUUCAUCUGUGCACAGUUCCAGGGGGAAUGCUCUCACUCUUAGAUGAUAUUCAAAAGGAGUUGGUUUCACAUCACACAGCUCCUUGGUGGUUUGCUUUUUGCAGCUCCCCAAGCUGUGCUGCAGAGCGCUACAGCUUCCAGAAAGCCUUGAUUUAUCUGCAGGGAGACGGCCAGCACAUCUCUCCCUCCCACUCCCCCACAUCAGAAUAUUUUCAAUCAAAAACUUGGUUGGAAUAUCUGGGCACCAAGAACCACCAUGCCACUGCAGCGGAUACAGCCGCAUGCAUGAUGGGCAUCCAGGGAGCAUCAGCACCUCCCAUGCCUGCGGAGCAGAGAUCCUACUCCCCUCACC
Molecule: non-coding RNA, 4733 nt
Organism: Meleagris gallopavo (turkey)
Lineage: Eukaryota; Metazoa; Chordata; Aves; Galliformes; Phasianidae
Source: RefSeq, a predicted model, not a curated record